GGUUAAGCGACUAAGCGUACACGGUGGAUGCCCUGGCAGUCAGAGGCGAUGAAGGACGUGCUAAUCUGCGAUAAGCGUCGGUAAGGUGAUAUGAACCGUUAUAACCGGCGAUUUCCGAAUGGGGAAACCCAGUGUGUUUCGACACACUAUCAUUAACUGAAUCCAUAGGUUAAUGAGGCGAACCGGGGGAACUGAAACAUCUAAGUACCCCGAGGAAAAGAAAUCAACCGAGAUUCCCCCAGUAGCGGCGAGCGAACGGGGAGCAGCCCAGAGCCUGAAUCAGUGUGUGUGUUAGUGGAAGCGUCUGGAAAGGCGCGCGAUACAGGGUGACAGCCCCGUACACAAAAAUGCACAUGCUGUGAGCUCGAUGAGUAGGGCGGGACACGUGGUAUCCUGUCUGAAUAUGGGGGGACCAUCCUCCAAGGCUAAAUACUCCUGACUGACCGAUAGUGAACCAGUACCGUGAGGGAAAGGCGAAAAGAACCCCGGCGAGGGGAGUGAAAAAGAACCUGAAACCGUGUACGUACAAGCAGUGGGAGCACGCUUAGGCGUGUGACUGCGUACCUUUUGUAUAAUGGGUCAGCGACUUAUAUUCUGUAGCAAGGUUAACCGAAUAGGGGAGCCGAAGGGAAACCGAGUCUUAACUGGGCGUUAAGUUGCAGGGUAUAGACCCGAAACCCGGUGAUCUAGCCAUGGGCAGGUUGAAGGUUGGGUAACACUAACUGGAGGACCGAACCGACUAAUGUUGAAAAAUUAGCGGAUGACUUGUGGCUGGGGGUGAAAGGCCAAUCAAACCGGGAGAUAGCUGGUUCUCCCCGAAAGCUAUUUAGGUAGCGCCUCGUGAAUUCAUCUCCGGGGGUAGAGCACUGUUUCGGCAAGGGGGUCAUCCCGACUUACCAACCCGAUGCAAACUGCGAAUACCGGAGAAUGUUAUCACGGGAGACACACGGCGGGUGCUAACGUCCGUCGUGAAGAGGGAAACAACCCAGACCGCCAGCUAAGGUCCCAAAGUCAUGGUUAAGUGGGAAACGAUGUGGGAAGGCCCAGACAGCCAGGAUGUUGGCUUAGAAGCAGCCAUCAUUUAAAGAAAGCGUAAUAGCUCACUGGUCGAGUCGGCCUGCGCGGAAGAUGUAACGGGGCUAAACCAUGCACCGAAGCUGCGGCAGCGACGCUUAUGCGUUGUUGGGUAGGGGAGCGUUCUGUAAGCCUGCGAAGGUGUGCUGUGAGGCAUGCUGGAGGUAUCAGAAGUGCGAAUGCUGACAUAAGUAACGAUAAAGCGGGUGAAAAGCCCGCUCGCCGGAAGACCAAGGGUUCCUGUCCAACGUUAAUCGGGGCAGGGUGAGUCGACCCCUAAGGCGAGGCCGAAAGGCGUAGUCGAUGGGAAACAGGUUAAUAUUCCUGUACUUGGUGUUACUGCGAAGGGGGGACGGAGAAGGCUAUGUUGGCCGGGCGACGGUUGUCCCGGUUUAAGCGUGUAGGCUGGUUUUCCAGGCAAAUCCGGAAAAUCAAGGCUGAGGCGUGAUGACGAGGCACUACGGUGCUGAAGCAACAAAUGCCCUGCUUCCAGGAAAAGCCUCUAAGCAUCAGGUAACAUCAAAUCGUACCCCAAACCGACACAGGUGGUCAGGUAGAGAAUACCAAGGCGCUUGAGAGAACUCGGGUGAAGGAACUAGGCAAAAUGGUGCCGUAACUUCGGGAGAAGGCACGCUGAUAUGUAGGUGAAGUCCCUUGCGGAUGGAGCUGAAAUCAGUCGAAGAUACCAGCUGGCUGCAACUGUUUAUUAAAAACACAGCACUGUGCAAACACGAAAGUGGACGUAUACGGUGUGACGCCUGCCCGGUGCCGGAAGGUUAAUUGAUGGGGUCAGCGCAAGCGAAGCUCUUGAUCGAAGCCCCGGUAAACGGCGGCCGUAACUAUAACGGUCCUAAGGUAGCGAAAUUCCUUGUCGGGUAAGUUCCGACCUGCACGAAUGGCGUAAUGAUGGCCAGGCUGUCUCCACCCGAGACUCAGUGAAAUUGAACUCGCUGUGAAGAUGCAGUGUACCCGCGGCAAGACGGAAAGACCCCGUGAACCUUUACUAUAGCUUGACACUGAACAUUGAGCCUUGAUGUGUAGGAUAGGUGGGAGGCUUUGAAGUGUGGACGCCAGUCUGCAUGGAGCCGACCUUGAAAUACCACCCUUUAAUGUUUGAUGUUCUAACGUUGACCCGUAAUCCGGGUUGCGGACAGUGUCUGGUGGGUAGUUUGACUGGGGCGGUCUCCUCCUAAAGAGUAACGGAGGAGCACGAAGGUUGGCUAAUCCUGGUCGGACAUCAGGAGGUUAGUGCAAUGGCAUAAGCCAGCUUGACUGCGAGCGUGACGGCGCGAGCAGGUGCGAAAGCAGGUCAUAGUGAUCCGGUGGUUCUGAAUGGAAGGGCCAUCGCUCAACGGAUAAAAGGUACUCCGGGGAUAACAGGCUGAUACCGCCCAAGAGUUCAUAUCGACGGCGGUGUUUGGCACCUCGAUGUCGGCUCAUCACAUCCUGGGGCUGAAGUAGGUCCCAAGGGUAUGGCUGUUCGCCAUUUAAAGUGGUACGCGAGCUGGGUUUAGAACGUCGUGAGACAGUUCGGUCCCUAUCUGCCGUGGGCGCUGGAGAACUGAGGGGGGCUGCUCCUAGUACGAGAGGACCGGAGUGGACGCAUCACUGGUGUUCGGGUUGUCAUGCCAAUGGCACUGCCCGGUAGCUAAAUGCGGAAGAGAUAAGUGCUGAAAGCAUCUAAGCACGAAACUUGCCCCGAGAUGAGUUCUCCCUGACUCCUUGAGAGUCCUGAAGGAACGUUGAAGACGACGACGUUGAUAGGCCGGGUGUGUAAGCGCAGCGAUGCGUUGAGCUAACCGGUACUAAUGAACCGUGAGGCUUAACCUU
This 2904-nucleotide ribosomal RNA is filed under the name Escherichia coli. Its description in RNAcentral is "23S ribosomal RNA". It matches the Rfam family "Bacterial large subunit ribosomal RNA". The record is from RNAcentral. RNAcentral also lists the same sequence under 1 other name. Lineage: Bacteria; Pseudomonadati; Pseudomonadota; Gammaproteobacteria; Enterobacterales; Enterobacteriaceae.